UACAUAGGUGGCAAGCGUUAUCCGGAUUUAUUGGGCGUAAAGCGUGCGUAGGUGGCCAAUUAAGUCAAAUGUGAAAUCCCCGAGCUUAACUUGGGAAUUGCAUUCGAUACUGGUUGGCUAGAGUAUGGGAGAGGAUGGUAGAAUUCCAGGUGUAGCGGUGAAAUGCGUAGAGAUCUGGAGGAAUACCGAUGGCGAAGGCAGCCAUCUGGCCUAAUACUGACACUGAGGCACGAAAGCAUGGGGAGCAAACAGG
This 253-nucleotide ribosomal RNA is filed under the name uncultured Acinetobacter sp. Its description in RNAcentral is "partial 16S ribosomal RNA". It matches the Rfam family "Bacterial small subunit ribosomal RNA", at positions 524 to 776 of the family's 1533-position model. Lineage: Bacteria; Pseudomonadati; Pseudomonadota; Gammaproteobacteria; Moraxellales; Moraxellaceae. The record is from RNAcentral.